GACGAACGCUGGCGGCGUGCUUAACACAUGCAAGUCGAACGGAAAGGCCCUGCUUUUGUGGGGUGCUCGAGUGGCGAACGGGUGAGUAACACGUGAGUAACCUGCCCUUGACUUUGGGAUAACUUCAGGAAACUGGGGCUAAUACCGGAUAGGAGCUCCUGCUGCAUGGUGGGGGUUGGAAAGUUUCGGCGGUUGGGGAUGGACUCGCGGCUUAUCAGCUUGUUGGUGGGGUAGUGGCUUACCAAGGCUUUGACGGGUAGCCGGCCUGAGAGGGUGACCGGCCACAUUGGGACUGAGAUACGGCCCAGACUCCUACGGGAGGCAGCGGUGGGGAAUAUUGCACAAUGGGCGGAAGCCUGAUGCAGCAACGCCGCGUGCGGGAUGACGGCCUUCGGGUUGUAAACCGCUUUCGCCUGUGACGAAGCGUGAGUGACGGUAAUGGGUAAAGAAGCACCGGCUAACGACGUGC
Molecule: ribosomal RNA, 469 nt
Filed under: uncultured bacterium
Lineage: Bacteria
Description: partial 16S ribosomal RNA
Rfam family: Bacterial small subunit ribosomal RNA
Source: RNAcentral